GAGCCGACCCGAAUUUCAAAAGGCAGCCGUUAAAAUUCAACGAGACGCUCUCCGAACUCCGGCGACAGGCGACCGGUGACGACAGUGCCGUACCUCGUUCUCCGAUGAGUGGUAUGAAGGAUCCUUCGUGAAAUCGAGGACAAUCCUCUGGAAAUGGAAACCGAAGUUCAAAAUGGAGAUAUUGAAUUGACAGGUUCCAGUUGGACGAGUUCUCCAGGCUAAUACGGGAUAUGAAAGGAUUCAGCUUUCCACUCUGAGGGUGAACCCAGA
Molecule: long non-coding RNA, 270 nt
Organism: Tarenaya hassleriana
Lineage: Eukaryota; Viridiplantae; Streptophyta; Magnoliopsida; Brassicales; Cleomaceae
Exons: 3
Source: RefSeq, a predicted model, not a curated record